RNAcentral lists this unclassified non-coding RNA (391 nucleotides) under soil metagenome. RNAcentral's name for it is "partial contains 5.8S ribosomal RNA, internal transcribed spacer 2, and large subunit ribosomal RNA". The stretch from base 1 to 122 matches the Rfam family "5.8S ribosomal RNA", at positions 35 to 154 of the family's 154-position model. The record is from RNAcentral.
GAUGAAGAACGCAGCGAAAUGCGAUACUUGGUGUGAAUUGCAGAAUCCCGUGAACCAUCGAGUCUUUGAACGCAAGUUGCGCCCGAAGCCAUUAGGCCGAGGGCACGCCUGCCUGGGCGUCACACGUCGUCGCCCCCCCAUCUACUCCUUCGGGAUUGCGGGGGGCGGAUGAUGGCCUCCCGUGCGCCUCGUCGCGCGGUUGGCCUAAAUGCCAAGUCCUCGGCGACGCACGCCACGACAAUCGGUGGUUGCGAAACCUCGGUUGCCUGUCGUGUGCGGUCGUCGCGCAUCGAGGGCUCGAAAAAAUUGCCGGGCUCCGGCUCGGCUUUCAACGCGACCCCAGGUCAGGCGGGGUUACCCGCUGAAUUUAAGCAUAUCAAUAAGCGGAGGA